GUGGGGAAUCUUGCGCAAUGGGCGAAAGCCUGACGCAGCCAUGCCGCGUGAAUGAUGAAGGUCUUAGGAUUGUAAAAUUCUUUCACCGGGGACGAUAAUGACGGUACCCGGAGAAGAAGCUCCGGCUAACUUCGUGCCAGCAGCCGCGGUAAUACGAAGGGGGCUAGCGUUGCUCGGAAUUACUGGGCGUAAAGGGCGCGUAGGCGGACAGCUUAGUCAGAGGUGAAAGCCCAGGGCUCAACCUUGGAAUUGCCUUUGAUACUGGCUGUCUUGAGUUUGGGAGAGGUGAGUGGAACUCCGAGUGUAGAGGUGAAAUUCGUAGAUAUUCGGAAGAACACCAGUGGCGAAGGCGACUUUCUGGACGAUGUCUGACGCUGAGGCGCGAAAGCUAGGGGAGCGAACGGGAUUAGAAACCCGGGUAGUCC
This 425-nucleotide ribosomal RNA is filed under the name uncultured bacterium. RNAcentral's name for it is "partial 16S ribosomal RNA". It matches the Rfam family "Bacterial small subunit ribosomal RNA", at positions 354 to 796 of the family's 1533-position model. The record is from RNAcentral.